CAUUUCACCAAAAAAGGGGGAAGCAAGGCAAGACGUGGCUGCAGCGGUCUGCAGACGUGACUUCUGAUCAAAUUCGAACCUCCUAAAGAAACAAAGAGCGACGUUACAUUGCGGGAUGACGUCACCUGAAAAUGACCAAUAGCGUGGCGCGCUGCUGAGCUGUGUGCCAACCGCUCUUUUUUUCAUGCAGGAGACUCAAGUUGGCUUCGCUAACGGACACAGUUUUGAACUCGUAUAUUAGCGCCAUUUAUUGCUGCUUGGACCACAGCAUCUUCGGAAUUUGUAGACAUCCUGGCAGCUUACAAUUAGUUCGAGGUGAGACAUCUUGGAAAUGGGGGACAGCAUAAGGAGUUCCAUUACUAAGGUGCUGCCGGACCUGUCUGCCUCAAUCCUUGAAAUUGUACUGGAGGCACUACAAUCAUUAGGAGUGGAGACAUCUGAGAAACAAACCACACCAAAUAUGGAAAUUUCAAGCCAGGCCAGCAUAUCGUCUCCAUCUGUUUUAAGGUUUAAGGGUGGUGGCACAGCUAAGACCUAAGA
Molecule: non-coding RNA, 540 nt
Organism: Maylandia zebra (zebra mbuna)
Lineage: Eukaryota; Metazoa; Chordata; Actinopteri; Cichliformes; Cichlidae
Source: RefSeq, a predicted model, not a curated record